Molecule: ribosomal RNA, 586 nt
Filed under: uncultured bacterium
Lineage: Bacteria
Description: bacterial SSU rRNA
Rfam family: Bacterial small subunit ribosomal RNA
Source: RNAcentral
AGUCGAACGAACCUUCGGGUUAGUGGCGGACGGGUGAGUAACGCGUGAGAAUCUGCCCUCAGGAGGGGGACAACAGUUGGAAACGACUGCUAAUACCCCAUAUGCCGCGAGGUGAAAUGAAUUUCGCCUGAGGAUGAGCUCGCGUCUGAUUAGCUAGUUGGUGUAGGUAAUGGCUCACCAAGGCAUCGAUCAGUAGCUGGUCUGAGAGGAUGAUCAGCCACACUGGGACUGAGACACGGCCCAGACUCCUACGGGAGGCAGCAGUGGGGAAUUUUCCGCAAUGGGCGAAAGCCUGACGGAGCAACGCCGCGUGAGGGAUGAAGGCCUCUGGGCUGUAAACCUCUUUUAUCAAGGAAGAAGAUCUGACGGUACUUGAUGAAUAAGCCACGGCUAAUUCCGUGCCAGCAGCCGCGGUAAUACGGGAGUGGCAAGCGUUAUCCGGAAUUAUUGGGCGUAAAGCGUCCGCAGGCGGCCCUUCAAGUCUGCUGUUAAAAAGUGGAGCUUAACUCCAUCAUGGCAGUGGAAACUGUUGGGCUUGAGUGUGGUAGGGGCAGAGGGAAUUCCCGGUGUAGCGGUGAAAUGCGUA